GCUGACGUAGCUCAGAUGGUAGAGCAGCUGAUUUGUAAUCAGCCGGUCGGCGGUUCGACUCCGUCCGUCAGCA
Molecule: transfer RNA, 73 nt
Filed under: Candidatus Cloacimonadota bacterium
Lineage: Bacteria; Pseudomonadati; Candidatus Cloacimonadota
Also listed under: 1 other name
Description: Candidatus Cloacimonetes bacterium tRNA-Thr
Rfam family: tRNA
About the family: Transfer RNA (tRNA) molecules are approximately 80 nucleotides in length.
Source: RNAcentral